CUGAGACAGGUGCUGCAUGGCUGUCGUCAGCUCGUGUUGUGAAAUGUUGGGUUAAGUCCCGCAACGAGCGCAACCCUUAUCCUUUGUUGCCAGCGGUGGGGCCGGGAACUCAAAGGAGACUGCCAGUGAUAAACUGGAGGAAGGUGGGGAUGACGUCAAGUCAUCAUGGCCCUUACGAGUAGGGCUACACACGUGCUACAAUGGCGCAUACAAAGAGAAGCGACCUCGCGAGAGCAAGCGGACCUCAUAAAGUGCGUCGUAGUCCGGAUUGGAGUCUGCAACUCGACUCCAUGAAGUCGGAAUCGCUAGUAAUCGUAGAUCAGAAU
This 326-nucleotide ribosomal RNA is filed under the name Leclercia sp. SB35. RNAcentral's name for it is "bacterial SSU rRNA". It matches the Rfam family "Bacterial small subunit ribosomal RNA", at positions 1029 to 1355 of the family's 1533-position model. The record is from RNAcentral. Lineage: Bacteria; Pseudomonadati; Pseudomonadota; Gammaproteobacteria; Enterobacterales; Enterobacteriaceae.